This 610-nucleotide ribosomal RNA is filed under the name Marinobacter sp. Its description in RNAcentral is "bacterial SSU rRNA". It matches the Rfam family "Bacterial small subunit ribosomal RNA", at positions 40 to 644 of the family's 1533-position model. Lineage: Bacteria; Pseudomonadati; Pseudomonadota; Gammaproteobacteria; Pseudomonadales; Marinobacteraceae. The record is from RNAcentral.
CGGCAGCUUACACAUGCAGUCGAGCGGUAACAGGGGGUGCUUGCACCCCGCUGACGAGCGGCGGACGGGUGAGUAAUGCAUAGGAAUCUGCCCAGUAGUGGGGGAUAGCCCGGGGAAACCCGGAUUAAUACCGCAUACGUCCUUCGGGGGAAAGCAGGGGAUCUUCGGACCUUGCGCUAUUGGAUGAGCCUAUGUCGGAUUAGCUAGUUGGUGGGGUAAAGGCCUACCAAGGCGACGAUCCGUAGCUGGUCUGAGAGGAUGAUCAGCCACAUCGGGACUGAGACACGGCCCGAACUCCUACGGGAGGCAGCAGUGGGGAAUAUUGGACAAUGGGGGCAACCCUGAUCCAGCCAUGCCGCGUGUGUGAAGAAGGCUUUCGGGUUGUAAAGCACUUUCAGUGAGGAGGAAAACCUUCUGGUUAAUACCCAUGAGGCUUGACGUUACUCACAGAAGAAGCACCGGCUAACUCCGUGCCAGCAGCCGCGGUAAUACGGAGGGUGCAAGCGUUAAUCGGAAUUACUGGGCGUAAAGCGCGCGUAGGUGGUUUGAUAAGCGAGAUGUGAAAGCCCCGGGCUUAACCUGGGAACGGCAUUUCGAACUGUCAGGCUAG